This 358-nucleotide long non-coding RNA is filed under the name Helianthus annuus (common sunflower). Its description in RNAcentral is "hypothetical non coding rna". The record is from RNAcentral. Lineage: Eukaryota; Viridiplantae; Streptophyta; Magnoliopsida; Asterales; Asteraceae.
AUGGAUAUGUUUAAAUCUUAUGCGCUGUUUACUUGAUUGACCGGUUACUUCUUUUAAAUGGCUGUUACCUUUUUAUCCGACCCUUCCAAAAACUCGACAUCCUCGAACCACCUAUAAAUACCGAGUACAAUCUCUUGCCGAAACCGCACAAACCUCCACCUUCUCCUUCGCUGUUUCGCCUGAGGACCGCCACCGAGCCACCACCUGAGCACCGUUGAUCGCCGGAACCACCGUGAACCGCCUGCCGCCUGCCGUCGCCGCCGACGACCGCCGGUAAAACAUCUCAUCCGGGUAAUUCUCUUGUGCACGCUCUCUUUGGGGAAAUCUUUGACUCUUAAUCUUAUUCCAAGAAAUACGC